This is a long non-coding RNA of Fukomys damarensis (Damara mole-rat), 1400 nucleotides long. RefSeq lists it as uncharacterized. Lineage: Eukaryota; Metazoa; Chordata; Mammalia; Rodentia; Bathyergidae. The record is from RefSeq and is a predicted model, not a curated record. The transcript has 2 exons.
AUCUUGCACACUAUUUUCCCCCUAGCACGGGGAUUGAACCCAAGGCCCUGCAUCGGGAGCGCUGGGCCACUCCGACCCUCCUCCACUUCUCUGAAGCCUGAUUUUGACUUGGGUCUUCCUAAGUUGGCCUCAAACCCAUGAUCCUCUAGCCUCAGCUUCUCAAUCAGCUGGGAUUUCUGAUGUGUGCCACCACCCUUGGUCCUUACACACUGUUUUGCUAAUACUUAUCAUGGGCUAGGUUUUCUCAGCAAAUCCACACAGAUGGUGGGUUCAUCCCACUGUGCGUCAGUGCAGACGCCGUCUCAGCUCCCAUGAGAGGGUGGAAGCAGCCUCUGGCUUGCUUGCCAUUUCAGAGACAGGUGCUGGACGCUGUGAACAUGUCAGUGCGCUUUUCCUCAGCACCGCAGGGAUCCCGCUCCGCCUGCUGGGUAUAUAGGUCCCCAACCCUUCACACUGACCACUUUUCCGGAGAAACAGAAACAGCCAACAUAGAUGAGCACCUGCUUUGGCCAGAGCCCCAAGGACGACUCACGCUUUGACCAGAGUGUAGUCAGCUUACGGAAUGACUCGAGUCUGACCGAGUGCAAACAGAGAGAAGUUCGUUCCUUCUCCCACCGCCUCUUCAGAACUUUCCCUGUUUCCCGGGGAAAUCACAGGCCUUUGUGUGGCUCCUGGCUGCAGUCCCUUCCCUAGGAGAUGAGCUCUGUCCUGCUGCCUGUCAGGCUACCAGCACCCGGCCUGUGGCUUCCACCCAGCUGGCUCUCUGUUAUUGGUCACAAUCCCCUCUGGGUGCCCGUGAGGUGGAGGCCCCCCCAUGUGGCCACAGGUUCCAUGCCUUUAUCCUGCUAUUAGAAGAAACCCGGGACAUAUGACAAACUUGGGUGGCUCUCCAGAAGUCCCUUCUCUUAUGUGACCACAGCGAGCUUUUCCCCGAAGAGUCUCAUGAGGGCUCUCUGCCGCCAAGGGGUCGCAUUUAAUGGCCCAAGUGCCUUCAUGGUGGGCCAGUGCUGGGACUGGCUCUACAGUCUCAGUGUGCAGUCCUACAAAUCUGUUCCCCAUCUUGCUUUAGGAUGUGGUGCCUCAUGAUUGGUUCUAGGUCCUUAGGCUCCCCGAACCCAAGAAAGUUCUGUUUAAGUCUGACUGUUAAGUAAGCCAUGAGUCUCGCUAUCAGAUCUGCAAAUGACAAGUACAAGUGAAAAUGGGGGGCCCCUUGUUCGAAACUUCUUAAGAAAUUUAUGUGGCCACACUGGAGGAUGAGCCAAGCACCACUGGAGAAGAGCCUCAUGCGAUCUGUGCGUUAUGUGUGUCCUGAGGUCUAAUAGCAGGAAAAUUAAGGUCACAUAUGCUGUGGUUGUAUGAAUACUCACUCUAGGUUUAAUUAAACAACAUACCCCAAUCCA